GAAAUGCGAUAAGUAGUGUGAAUUGCAGAAUUCAGUGAAUCAUCGAAUCUUUGAACGCACAUUGCGCCCUUUGGUAUUCCUUAGGGCAUGCCUGUUCGAGCGUCAUCUAAACCUUCAAGCCCUGCUUGGUGUUGGGUGCCUGUCCCGCCUCCGCGCGCGGACUCACCUCAAAUCCAUUGGCGGCCCCCGCGUCGGCCACGAGCGCAGCAGAAACGCGAACUCGUGAGCCCGUCCGGGCGGCUCCCAGAAGCUACACCCACCCAGUUUGACCUCGGAUCAGGUAGGGAUACCCGCUAAACUUAAGC
Molecule: unclassified non-coding RNA, 305 nt
Filed under: plant metagenome
Description: partial contains 5.8S ribosomal RNA, internal transcribed spacer 2, and large subunit ribosomal RNA
Rfam family: 5.8S ribosomal RNA (bases 1-105)
Source: RNAcentral